GAGAUCAAGAUGCCUGAGGAUUCAGUGCCUGU
RNAcentral lists this non-coding RNA (32 nucleotides) under Homo sapiens (human). The record is from RNAcentral. Lineage: Eukaryota; Metazoa; Chordata; Mammalia; Primates; Hominidae.